RNAcentral lists this unclassified non-coding RNA (823 nucleotides) under Arabidopsis thaliana (thale cress). The record is from RNAcentral. Lineage: Eukaryota; Viridiplantae; Streptophyta; Magnoliopsida; Brassicales; Brassicaceae.
UCUCUCUUUCUCUUCUUUAAUUUCUUUCCUCUCCAUUAAAACCACUUCACUUUCUCUGAAUAUUUUUUUAUCUUCAACUUCUUUUAUUUUUUCAACCAAGCAUUCAAACUAGAAUGAAGCUAUCUGACUGGUUGUUCAAUCGGGAGAAGAAAAAAUUGCAAACUAAAAUCAUUAAUAAUUAGGCAAAACUUAGUUUACCACAUCCUUUCAUUAUAUCUUCAAAACGUGUUGUAGCUUCUUUUUUAAUUCCAUUUUCUAGUUUUGAUGACAUAGACUAAGUAUCCAAAACAAUCUGAAAAUGUGCAAGUCUUAGGUUUGAGGAAAAGGAAGAAGAAGCAAAUUGAUCAUGGUGCAGAGGCAUGAAAAAGAACUUUGCUAUAUCAGCGAGCAGCAACAACGUCUAAUGCUUCUUUUCGUGGAGAAGUAAAGUUAUUCAUUAAGGGUAUGCUUGAAUCUUCUUUCAAUAGUUUUGCCUAGAACAUCGGCAAAAGAUUGGCGAAAACGAAAGGAGGAUGUAUCUAAAAUCAAGGGAAUGAUUGCUACAUGUGGGGUUACAAGAGAAACGACUUCGACACCGUCCCAACUACUAAAAGUGCAGCAUAAUUCUUUGGUACGUAAAAAGUAGCUUUGUCCUAUGUUACCUUUGUGUGUUCUUGUUUUCUUUUCUUUGUAUUUGAUCCUAUCACUUCCAAAUCUGAUAUGUAUCUGCAUGUAUAAUUUUUUUAAUCGGCAAUGUAUCUACAUGUAGGUAUUUUUAAGAAAGUGUAUAACACUGCUGUAAACUUACGUAUUUGUAAUUAAAUGUGUUUUUUAACCGUUAUAA